AUCUUGGUUCAGGAUGAACGCUAGCUACAGGCUUAACACAUGCAAGUCGAGGGGCGAGCGAGAGGAAAGCUUGCUUCCUUGUCGGCGACCGGCGCACGGGUGAGUAACGCGUAUCCAACCUUCCCCUUAGUAGGGCAUAGCCCGGCGAAAGUCGGAUUAACACCCUAUGUUAUCCGAAGAGGACAUCUGAACUGGAUUAAAGGUUUACCGCUAAGGGAUGGGGAUGCGUCUGAUUAGGUAGUAGGCGGGGUAACGGCCCACCUAGCCGACGAUCAGUAGGGGUUCUGAGAGGAAGGUCCCCCACAUUGGAACUGAGACACGGUCCAAACUCCUACGGGAGGCAGCAGUGAGGAAUAUUGGUCAAUGGGCGAGAGCCUGAACCAGCCAAAAGUAGCGUGCAGGAUGACGGCCCUAUGGGUUGUAAACUGCUUUUAUACGGGGAUAAAGUGAGGGACGUGUCCCUUUUUGUUAGGUACCGUAUGAAUAAGGACCGGCUAAUUCCGUGCCAGCCGCCGC
Molecule: ribosomal RNA, 516 nt
Filed under: uncultured bacterium
Lineage: Bacteria
Description: bacterial SSU rRNA
Rfam family: Bacterial small subunit ribosomal RNA
Source: RNAcentral